Molecule: ribosomal RNA, 465 nt
Filed under: uncultured bacterium
Lineage: Bacteria
Description: partial 16S ribosomal RNA
Rfam family: Bacterial small subunit ribosomal RNA
Source: RNAcentral
CUACGGGAGGCUGCAGUGGGGAAUAUUGGACAAUGGGGGAAACCCUGAUCCAGCAAUGCCGCGCGUGUGAAGAAGGCCUGCGGGUUGUAAAGCACUUUCGGUUGGGAGGACUGCUUCUAGCACUAAUAUUGUUGGAAGUUGACGUUACCUUCAGAAGAAGCACCGGCUAACUCCGUGCCAGCAGCCGCGGUAAUACGGAGGGUGCAAGCGUUAAUCGGAAUUACUGGGCGUAAAGCGCGCGUAGGCGGCUAGAUCAGUCGGGUGUGAAAGCCCCGGGCUUAACCUGGGAACUGCAUCCGAUACUGUCUAGCUUGAGUACAGGAGAGGAGAGUGGAAUUCCACAUGUAGCGGUGAAGUGCGUAGAUAUGUGGAGGAACACCAAUGGCGAAGGCAGCUCUCUGGCCUGAUACUGACGCUGAGGUGCGAAAGCGCGGGGAGCAAACAGGAUUAGAUACCCCCGUAGUC